This 540-nucleotide ribosomal RNA is filed under the name uncultured bacterium. Its description in RNAcentral is "bacterial SSU rRNA". It matches the Rfam family "Bacterial small subunit ribosomal RNA", at positions 355 to 895 of the family's 1533-position model. The record is from RNAcentral.
UGAGGAAUAUUGUGUCAAUGGGCGAGAGCCUGAACCAGCCAAGUAGCGUGCAGGAAGACGGCCCUAUGGGUUGUAAACUGCUUUUGUAUGGGGAUAAAGUCAAUCACGUGUGAUUGUUUGCAGGUACCAUACGAAUAAGGACCGGCUAAUUCCGUGCCAGCAGCCGCGGUAAUACGGAAGGUCCGGGCGUUAUCCGGAUUUAUUGGGUUUAAAGGGAGCGUAGGCUGGAGAUUAAGUGUGUUGUGAAAUGUAGACGCUCAACGUCUGACUUGCAGCGCAUACUGGUUUCCUUGAGUACGCACAACGUUGGCGGAAUUCGUCGUGUAGCGGUGAAAUGCUUAGAUAUGACGAAGAACUCCGAUUGCGAAGGCAGCUGACGGGAGCGCAACUGACGCUGAAGCUCGAAGGUGCGGGUAUCGAACAGGAUUAGAUACCCUGGUAGUCCGCACAGUAAACGAUGGAUGCCCGCUGUUGGUACCUGGUAUCAGCGGCUAAGCGAAAGCAUUAAGCAUCCCACCUGGGGGAGUACGCCGGCNCGGU